This is a small nuclear RNA of Loxodonta africana (African savanna elephant), 107 nucleotides long. Lineage: Eukaryota; Metazoa; Chordata; Mammalia; Proboscidea; Elephantidae. The record is from Ensembl.
GUGCUCGCUUUGGCAGCAUAUAUACUAAAAUUGGACUAAUACAGAGAAGAUUAGCAUGGCUCCUGUUCGAGGAUGACAUGUAAAAUCGUGAAGCAUUCCAUAUUUUU